UAGACCACUUUGAAAACGGGACCAAAAAUUAAGAAUCUACAUACACAGUUAGAUUCAGCAUAUCAAAGAACCCCAAUUAUUCAAUUUUUGAUUAAAUCAAACAAAGUUUAAUGUUGAACCCUUUGGACCCCUUAUUCCUAAACUGUUGGGACCAAAACUCCCAAAAUCAAUCCCAACCUUCCUUUUAUGGUUAUAAACCUUGUGUUUAAAUUUCAUAGAUUUCUAUUUACUUAUACUAAAGUUAUGGUGCGAAAACCAAGAAAAAUGCUUAUUUGGGCCCCUUUUUGGCCCCUUAUUCCUAAACUGUUUGGACCUCAACUCCCAAAAUCAAUCCCAAUCUUCCUUUUAUGGUCAUAGACCUUGUGUUUAAAUUUCAUUGAUUUCUAUUUACUUAUACUAAAGUUAUUGUGCGAAAACCAAGAAUAAUGCUUAUUUUGGCCCUUUUUUGGCCCCUAAUUCUUAAACUGUUGGAACCAAAACUCCCAAAAUCAAUCCCCACCUUUCUUUUGUGGUCAUAAACCUUGUGUCAAAAUUUCAUAGAUUUCUAUUUACUUAAACUAAAGUUAUAGUGCGAAAACCAAGAAAAUGCUUAUUUGGGCUCUUUUUGGCCCCUAAUUCCUAAACUGUUGGGACCAAAACUCCCAAAAUCAAUCCCAACCUUGCUUUUGUGGUCAUAAACCUUAUGUUAAAAUUUCAUAGAUUUCUAUUCACUUUUACUAAAGUUAGAGUGCGAAAACUAAAAGUAUUCGGACGACGACGACGACGACGACGACGCCAACGUGAUAGCAAUAUACGACGAAAAUUUUUUCAAAUUUUGCGGUCGUAUAAAAAAAUUGAAAG
This 840-nucleotide long non-coding RNA is filed under the name Mytilus galloprovincialis (Mediterranean mussel). The record is from RNAcentral. Lineage: Eukaryota; Metazoa; Mollusca; Bivalvia; Mytilida; Mytilidae.